UCCUCGAUGGUCUAGUGGUUAUGAUUUCCGCUUGUCAUUAACUUGCCAAGCGCGGGAGACCAGGGUUCGAUUCCCUGUCGGGGAG
Molecule: transfer RNA, 85 nt
Rfam family: tRNA
About the family: Transfer RNA (tRNA) molecules are approximately 80 nucleotides in length. Their secondary structure includes four short double-helical elements and three loops (D, anti-codon, and T loops). Further hydrogen bonds mediate the characteristic L-shaped molecular structure. tRNAs have two regions of fundamental functional importance: the anti-codon, which is responsible for specific mRNA codon recognition, and the 3' end, to which the tRNAs corresponding amino acid is attached (by aminoacyl-tRNA synthetases). tRNAs cope with the degeneracy of the genetic code in two manners: having more than one tRNA (with a specific anti-codon) for a particular amino acid; and 'wobble' base-pairing, i.e. permitting non-standard base-pairing at the 3rd anti-codon position.